Molecule: ribosomal RNA, 1949 nt
Filed under: human gut metagenome
Description: bacterial LSU rRNA
Rfam family: Bacterial large subunit ribosomal RNA
Source: RNAcentral
UCAAGUGACUAAGUGCAUGUGGCGGAUGCCUUGGCGAUCACAGGCGAAGAAAGACGCGGCAGCCUGCGAAAAGCUGCGGGGAGCUGGCAAACGAGCUUUGAUCCGCAGAUAUCUGAAUGGGGGAACCCACACCGCAAGGUGUAUCCGUGACUGAAUACAUAGGUUACGGAGGCGAACGAGGAGAACUGAAACAUCUAAGUAUCCUCAGGAAAAGAAAUCAACCGAGAUUCCGGCAGUAGCGGCGAGCGAACCCGGAGGAGCCUAGCUUUUGAUAGUACGAACUUUAGCCGAAAGGUCCUGGAAAGGCCUGCUAUAGUGGGUGAUAGCCCCGUAGGCGAAAGAGUUCGUACGGUACUAAGGAAGCGAGAAGUAGAGCGGGACACGUGGAAUCCUGUUCGAAGAUGGGGGGACCAUCCUCCAAGGCUAAAUACUCGUGAUCGACCGAUAGUGAACCAGUACCGUGAGGGAAAGGCGAAAAGAACCCCGGGAGGGGAGUGAAAUAGAACCUGAAACCGCAUGCAUACAAACAGUAGGAGCCUCGUCAGAGGUGACUGCGUACCUUUUGCAUAAUGGGUCAGCGACUUACAUUCUGUGGCGAGCUUAACCGAAUAGGGGAGGCGCAGCGAAAGCGAGUUCGAAAUGAGCGUCCAGUCGCAGGGUGUAGACCCGAAACCAGAUGAGCUAUCCAUGGCCAGGUUGAAGGUGUGGUAACACACACUGGAGGACCGAACCGACUAGUGUUGCAAAAUUAGCGGAUGAGCUGUGGAUAGGGGUGAAAGGCCAAACAAAUCUGGAGAUAGCUGGUUCUCCCCGAAAACUAUUGAGGUAGUGCCUCGUGUGUCGCUCCAGGGGGUAGAGCACUGUUUUGGCUAGGGGGACAUGGAGUCUUACCAAACCAAGGCAAACUCCGAAUACCUGGAAGCGUAAGCACGGGAGACAGAGCACCGGGUGCUAACGUCCGGACUCAAAAGGGAAACAACCCAGACCGCCGGCUAAGGUCCCCAAUAACAGCUAAGUGGAAAACGAAGUGGAAAGGCCGUGACAACCAGGAAGUUGGCUUAGAAGCAGCCAUCCUUCAAAGAAAGCGUAAUAGCUCACUGGUCGAGUCCUUCUGCGCGGAAGAUGUAACGGGGCUAAGCUGUUAACCGAAGCCGCGGAUGCACUGGUUAUCCAGUGCGUGGUAGGGGAGCGUUCUGUAAGUCUGCGAAGGCGGUUCGAGAGGACUGCUGGAGAUAUCAGAAGUGCGAAUGCUGACAUGAGUAACGUUAAAGCAGGUGAAAAGCCUGCUCGCCGUAAGCCCAAGGAUUCCUGCUCUACGUUCAUCGGAGCAGGGUGAGUCGGCUCCUAAGGUCAGGCCGAAAGGCGUAGCCGAUGGGAAUCAGGUUAAUAUUCCUGAACCUGCGUCAGAUGCGAUGGGGGGACGGAGCAUGAAAGAUCAUCCGGGUGUUGGAUGUCCCGGUUGACGAGCGUAGGAGGUCUGCAGGCAAAUCCGCAGACGCAUCUCCAAGGCGAAGUCACGUGCCGCCACGGCGGCGAAGUGAUCGGAAGUGCUUCCAAGAAAAGCCUCUAAGCACCAGUCUGACGCGGACCGUACCGCAAACCGACACUGGUGGGCGAGCUGAAUAUGCUCAGGCGCUUGAGAGAACUCGGGAGAAGGAACUCGGCAAAUUGACACCGUAACUUCGGAAGAAGGUGUGCCGUAGUAGCGUGAGAGGAGAGACACCUUGAGCGUGAAUCGGUCUCAGAGAAUAGGUGGCUGCGACUGUUUAUUAAAAACACAGCACUCUGCAAAGUCGAAAGACGACGUAUAGGGUGUGAUGCCUGCCCGGUGCUGGAAGAUUAAUUGAUGGGGUGAGAGCCCUUGAUCGAAGUCCCAGUAAACGGCGGCCGUAACUAUAACGGUCCUAAGGUAGCGAAAUUCCUUGUCGGGUAAGUUCCGACCUGCACGA